CCUACGGGAGGCAGCAGUGGGGGAUAUUGCACAAUGGGGGGAACCCUGAUGCAGCGACGCCGCGUGGGUGAAGAAGCGCCUCGGCGCGUAAAGCCCUGUCAGCAGGGAAGAAAAUGACGGUACCUGAAGAAGAAGCCCCGGCUAACUACGUGCCAGCAGCCGCGGUAAUACGUAGGGGGCAAGCGUUAUCCGGAUUUACUGGGUGUAAAGGGGGCGCAGACGGCGAUGCAAGCCAGGAGUGAAAGCACGGGGCCCAACCCCGGGACUGCUCUUGUAACUGCGUGGCUGGAGUGCAGGAGGGGCAGGCGGAAUGCCUGGUGUAGCGGGGAAAGGCGUAGAUAUCAGGAGGAACACCGGUGGCGAAGGCGGCCUGCUGGACUGCAACUGACGUUGAGGCCCGAAAGCGUGGGGAGCAAACAGGAUUAGAUACCCUUGUAGUC
This 440-nucleotide ribosomal RNA is filed under the name uncultured bacterium. RNAcentral describes it as "partial 16S ribosomal RNA". It matches the Rfam family "Bacterial small subunit ribosomal RNA", at positions 338 to 795 of the family's 1533-position model. The record is from RNAcentral.